CAGGCCUAACACAUGCAAGUCGGACGGGAUUGGAGAGCUUGCUUUCCAUGAGAGUGGCGCACGGGUGCGUAACACGUAUGCAACCUACCUUUAUCAGGGGGAUAGCCUCUCGAAAGAGAGAUUAACGCCGCAUAAAAUUGGAUUAUGGCAUCAUAAUCUGAUCAAAUAUUUAUAGGAUAAAGAUGGGCAUGCGGAACAUUAGCUAGUUGGUAAGGUAACGGCUUACCAAGGCGACGAUGUUUAGGGGAUCUGAGAGGAUGACCCCCCACACUGGUACUGAGACACGGACCAGACUCCUACGGGAGGCAGCAGUAAGGAAUAUUGGUCAAUGGGCGGAAGCCUGAACCAGCCAUGCCGCGUGCAGGAAGACGGCCCUACGGGUUGUAAACUGCUUUUGUACGGGAAUAAACCUUGAUACGUGUAUCAAGCUGAAUGUACCGUAAGAAUAAGGAUCGGCUAACUCCGUGCCAGCAGCCGCGGUAAU
This 484-nucleotide ribosomal RNA is filed under the name uncultured bacterium. Its description in RNAcentral is "bacterial SSU rRNA". It matches the Rfam family "Bacterial small subunit ribosomal RNA", at positions 43 to 524 of the family's 1533-position model. The record is from RNAcentral.